GAUGAACGCUGGCGGCGUGCUUAACACAUGCAAGUCGAACGGAAAGGCCCUGCUUUUGUGGGGUGCUCGAUUGGCGAGCGGGUGAGUAACACGUGAGUAACCUGCCCUUGACUUUGGGGUAACUUCAGGAAACCUGGGAUAAUACCCGAUAGGAGCUCCUGCUCCGUGGUGUGGAUUGGAAAGUUUCGGCGGUUGGGGAUGUGCUCGCGGCUUAUCAGCUUGUUGGUGGAGUAGUGGCUUACCAAGUCUUUGACGGGUAGGCGGCCUGAGAGGGUGACCGGCGACAUUGGGACUGAGAGAGGGCCCAGAGUGCAACGGGGGGCAAUAGGGGGAAACAUUGCCCAACGAGCGCAAGCGUGAUGCAGAAGCGCUGCGGGUGGGAUGACGGCCUUCGGGGUGUAAAACGCUUUCGCCUGUGACGAAGCGUGAGUGACGGUAAUGUAUAAAGAAGCACCGGCUAACUACGUG
This 468-nucleotide ribosomal RNA is filed under the name uncultured bacterium. RNAcentral describes it as "partial 16S ribosomal RNA". It matches the Rfam family "Bacterial small subunit ribosomal RNA", at positions 28 to 507 of the family's 1533-position model. The record is from RNAcentral.